RNAcentral lists this unclassified non-coding RNA (178 nucleotides) under uncultured Cladophialophora. RNAcentral's name for it is "sequence contains ITS1". Lineage: Eukaryota; Fungi; Ascomycota; Eurotiomycetes; Chaetothyriales; Herpotrichiellaceae. The record is from RNAcentral.
AUGAGUUAGGGUCCUCCAGGCCCGACCUCCAACCCUUUGUUUAACUACCAUGUUGCUUUGGCGGGCCCGUCUUUCACCGGACCGUCGGAGGUUUUUAAAUCUCUGGCCAGUGCCCGUCAGUAGCCUACCACAAAUACCUUUCAACCAUGUUAUAUCUGAAAAUAAGUUAAAUAAACUA